AGCAGCCGCGGUAAUUCCAGCUCCAAUAGCGUAUAUUAAAGUUGUUGCAGUUAAAAAGCUCGUAGUUGAAUUUCGGGGUUAGUAGGUUGGUCAUGCCUCUGGUAUGUACUGGUCUCACUGAUUCCUCCUUCCUGAUGAGCCGUAAUGCCAUUAAUUUGGUGUUGCGGGGAAUUUGGACUGUUACUUUGAAAAAUUAGAGUGUUUAAAGCAAGCUAACGCUUGAAUACAUUAGCAUGGAAUAAUGAAAUAGGACGUUCGAUCCUAUUUUGUUGGUUUCUAGGAUUGACGUAAUGAUUAAUAGGGAUAGUUGGGGCAUUAGUAUUCAAUUGUCAGAGGUGAAAUUCUUGGAUUUAUUGAAGACUAACUACUGCGAAAGCAUUUGCCAAGGAUGUUUUCAUUAAUACAAGAACGAAAGUUAGGGGAUCGAAGACGAUCAGA
Molecule: ribosomal RNA, 438 nt
Filed under: uncultured Glomus
Lineage: Eukaryota; Fungi; Glomeromycota; Glomeromycetes; Glomerales; Glomeraceae
Description: SSU rRNA
Rfam family: Eukaryotic small subunit ribosomal RNA
Source: RNAcentral